Molecule: long non-coding RNA, 2339 nt
Organism: Corapipo altera (White-ruffed manakin)
Lineage: Eukaryota; Metazoa; Chordata; Aves; Passeriformes; Pipridae
Exons: 2
Source: RefSeq, a predicted model, not a curated record
UGUUGGGCGCGGGCUGAGGCCGUGCCAGGAGCACGGCGGAGGGGCUCUGAUCUUGCGCGAAUUCCCUCUGGGCAGGCAGCGAAAGCGCUGCGGGUGAAACCUGACCUUCUUCUUCCCCCCCUCUCCCUCCUCCCCUUUUCUCCUCGCCGCCUUUGCAAAAGGAUGUGAAAAUGCCCAGAAAUGCGCAUUUUCACUCGUCCAUGGCGGAGCCCUCCAUCUCCCCCUCACGCUUCAGCUCCCCCCUCCAGUUCCCCCCCGCCUCAGGCGCCAUCGCUGCUUUCCCCCCUCCCCUCCCGCUCUGGCGUUACCCCUAAAAUAUUGUAUCUUUUGCCUCAUUUUUGGCCCAGAAUUCCGCUUUUCACACGCGCCCCCUCCCCACCCCCGUCCCCCAUCAUCAUCACCACAAGCACCCCAAGGUGGGUAGUUUAAUGCCUAAUUCUGUUCUCUUGCACCGCUUUUCUCCUUCGCAGGGGUCGGAGCUGCCAUCUCCCGCUUUCCUCACGGCAUGGAAAAUACCCAAACGUGCUUGGGGGAAAAAAAACAAACCAAGGAGAAAUCCCCUAACACCCGAGGACUGAUUUAUCUUCGGAGCCGGAGUGGUGUGGGAAGAAGCCAUCGCCGCUUGCCUGCUCCCCACGACAGCUCGCCCGCCAUUCGCUUAAUUAAAAUCAUAUAUUGGUGUGAUCAGACGUGGUAAUACCAUAAAAACCCAAAAUCCCGUAACAUCCACACGCUCGUUGUUGGAGGCUGCAGCCAAGUCCCCAAGUGACCUCCUGCAGCACUGCCUCCGCUGCAGUUCGACCACAGCUUUGCAUUGAAGCACUGAUGUGUCUCCCUGGGAGCCAGAGUGACCUUGCUGGGGGGACUGGGCCCACCAGGCAAUGCAGAUGCUCCUCUUCAUCCUAGAUCCCUGCACCCCUUUUUCUCCAUGCAUCCCUUCCCUCACCCGGGGGAUGUUACUGUGUUACAGUUGGUAAAGCUGUUUCAUGCCUUAUUUUUUCUCUCUUUUUUUUUUUUUUUUUAUUUUCUAGGGAAAUAAUGGGUUGUUUGUGUAACCCCUCUCCCCAUCAGAUCCCUACUAACCAUGCAGGGAUCUGCAAGUCUCCUGGGCGGUGGGAUCCAGCCUUUCCAUGAGUGUGGGGCUCCAUCCGUGUCCGUAUGUGUCGUACACAGGCCACAAAACCCCACAGUAUUCCUGUGGUUAGUUCUGUCUGGAGACCAUGAGUGGGUCCCAGGGCUUCCCCUUCCCACCACUUGCUGGUUCACAAAGGCUGAUGCUUCUGGAAAAAGCUCUGCCUUGUGGCCUUUAAAAAAAAAAAAAAUAAAUGAAGUGGCACUGCUGGGGAUUAGUCAUCCUUAUUUUUGAAGGAAGCUGUUUGCCAGCGCUGUCCGUAUCACGCAUGUGCGUGUGAGAUGGGAACUCCAGAAGGCUGGUAACGUGCUCUGCUCGCUGCUCCUUGGAGCUGAGCCACCCAGGCUCCAUUGAGCUGCUCCUGGCAGGUGGAAAAACCGACAGUCCAGCUUUCCAGACCCUUUCCCUCCAUUUUUUCAGGGCUGGAAUCUCUGCGUUGGCAGGUGUGGAAACAUGAAGGCUGUAACUGCAGUGAGCGAGGAUGGAUGAGCUGUUUUCUGGGGUCCCAUCCAACUCCAGAGAAGAAACUCUGGUGAUUUAUAAUUCUUUUCUUGCCUGUGGUAGAUUUUACUCUGAGCUCCGCUGCAUCUUGUGAGAAGACUGAGUUUGACCCUUUUGGCUGCUAAAAAUGGUUCUGUGUUUAAACAUCGGUGCUUUUUCCCUUCCCUGUGGUCACGUAGAAGAGCGAACCGCACAAUUAACCAGCACAGCAAAGGGCAGCUCCCUCCCCCUUUCCCCUUUCAAAAAAUCCAGAGUUGUGUGUCUUGAACUGCUGCAUAGGCAGAAAACAUACAAAGCCCUUGUCAGCAUUGUGCUGAUGUGUGGCACAUUAAAAAAAAUACACACAAAAGGGGUGGGGAGAGCGGGUGCCUCCAGGGAGCAAAACUGUGGGGCCCCUUUCCCUCCAAGCCAGCAGACCUACGUGCCAUAGCCUAUUCCUCCUAAUUUUGCUCAAGCGAAGGCAGUGGAGGUCGGAGGGAGUGUUGAAUGUCCUAAAUUGUGUUGGCGAAGAUCAGGGUCCCCUUGAACUAUAUUUUUUUUUCUCUCUGAACUCACUCCCACAAUAUGCUGCUGGUUUAUUACUCCAUUCCUUGCUCCCUGGGAAGAAGGAAAACGCUUCUUUACUGGGUGUAAUUCCUUUUGUUGUGUCGCAAAGGUAAUAAAAGGCACCUGGUGCUGGUCUCUCCCAGGUCACACAUGACUUCAA